AACGCUGUGAGAGUCCAGAUGAAGAUGAUGAUGAAGGUCAUGUUGAUGAAGAUUGUUGUGUGUGUCAGUGAUGAAGUGUUAAACUCACAGCACUAUAAACACUCUCAGAGCACUGAAGCAUCUGAUCAAUAUGCAAACACACUCCAGAUCAUUUACCUGAAGACAGCAGAAACACUGUUUUGUCAUUUAGUAUCUUUGCUAAUAAAUUUCUAUUGAUCAUUUUCAGAAACAGACACUCAUGAUUUACUUCAUGUUAUUUUGGGUGGAUCUUCUCCCUCUAAACACUGUUUUAAUGAUCAGUUUCAUUCAGACUUUGAUGCUGAGAGCAUUUCAUACCUGUGCUGCAGAUUUGAUAUCAUCAUGAUACUGUAGAACAGGUCAAAGGUCAUCCAAUAGAGAAUGACCAUCUAAAUAUUGCUGAAGAUUUCAUUGUAAAGCAGCUCAAUCAUGUUGAUGUUGAGAAGAUCUGCUGUUGAGUCUCAUAUCAGUGUGUGUGAGUGUCGUUCGUCUCUUUCUCUGCUGGAGUUUGUGUUCAUUUGAGUGUGACGGAGGUUUUUGUACGACGCUUUCACUAGAAUGAAGCACUGUGGUUGACUUUCGGUGGAGGAACUGAACUGACCAUCAGAACUGGUCCCGCAGUGAAGCCCUCCGUGUCUCUGCUGCCGCCCUCUUCUCUGCAGAUCUCUGGAGACUCAGCCGCACUGCUCUGCCUGCUCAGCUCUUACUCUCCACAGGGGGCGACGGUGAGCUGGACGCUGGACGGGUCAGAGGUCACCGAGGGGGUUCAGACCAGCGCAGAGAGCGAGCGGGACGGACGCUACAGCCGCAGCAGCGUCCUGAGCCUCAGCAAAGCACGCUGGGAAGGCGCAGAUCGCUUCGUCUGCAGAGUAAGACAUGACGGAGCUGAUCACGAGGCCUCGUUCCUCAAGAGCUCAGAGUGCUGAUGUUUCUCCAGUCGAGACGAGCCGUAUCUGAGCGUCUGGCAGGAUUCACAGGCAGUCACGUGAUUUACAGCUCAAUACUGAAGCAGUCUUUCAAUGUGCUGCCAUUGCUGUUCAUUCAAUAAAGCUUCUGAACGCGUUA
This is a long non-coding RNA of Ctenopharyngodon idella (grass carp), 1083 nucleotides long. RefSeq lists it as uncharacterized. The transcript is spliced from 3 exons. Lineage: Eukaryota; Metazoa; Chordata; Actinopteri; Cypriniformes; Xenocyprididae. The record is from RefSeq and is a predicted model, not a curated record.